ACGUGCGUCGUAGGCCCUGAAUUCCAGUGGCGGGCUCGCCGUGUUCCCGAGCGUAGUAAUGCUACCUCGCUCUGGGGCGCGCGGCGGGCGCCGGCCGUGAAACGACGAAACAUUAACCCCAAGGUUGACCUCGGAUCAGGUAGGAAUACCCGCUGAACUUAAGCAUAUCAAUAAGCGGAGGAAAAGAAACCAACAGGGAUUGCCUCAGUAACGGCGAGUGAAGCGGCAACAGCUCAAAUUUGAAAUCUGGCUCCGGCCCGAGUUGUAAUUUGCAGAGGAUGCUUUGGGCGCGGCGCCUCCCGAGUCCCCUGGAACGGGGCGCCAAAGAGGGUGAGAGCCCCGUAUGGUAGGACGCCAAGCCUGUGUAAAGCUCCUUCGACGAGUCGAGUAGUUUGGGAAUGCUGCUCUAAACGGGAGGUAAAUUCCUUCUAAAGCUAAAUACCGGCCAGAGACCGAUAGCGUACAAGUAGAGUGAUCGAAAGAUGAAAAGCACUUUGAAAAGAGGGUCAAACAGCACGUGAAAUUGUUGAAAGGGAAGCGCUUGUGACCAGACGUGCGCUGGGUCGAUCAUCCGGUGUUCUCACCGGUGCACUCGGCCUGGCGCAGGCCAGCAUCGGUUCUCGUGGGGGGAGAAAAACCCGGGGAAUGUAGCGCCUCCGGGCGUGUUAUAGCCCCGGGCGUAAUACCCUCGCGGGGACCGAGGCCCGCSCGCU
Molecule: ribosomal RNA, 713 nt
Filed under: Sordariomycetes sp.
Lineage: Eukaryota; Fungi; Ascomycota; Sordariomycetes
Description: eukaryotic LSU rRNA
Source: RNAcentral